Caenorhabditis elegans is the source of this 148-nucleotide non-coding RNA. Lineage: Eukaryota; Metazoa; Nematoda; Chromadorea; Rhabditida; Rhabditidae. The record is from Ensembl.
AGAAAAAGUCAAGAUAAAUGCAAAUUUUCGAUUAAAAGCACGCUUACAGGCGUAAAAAUGACAAAGUAACAAUUUUAAACAAUUUCGAACCUGAAUUAAUUAAUUUCUCUGAUUUAUGCCUGUAAGCGUGCUUUUUAAUCGAAAAUUU